This 53-nucleotide small RNA is filed under the name Salix viminalis (osier). Lineage: Eukaryota; Viridiplantae; Streptophyta; Magnoliopsida; Malpighiales; Salicaceae. The record is from RNAcentral.
UUGAAGAUUCUGAGUAAAAUCUGGUAGCUUCCCACUGAAUUGGUUGCCUUCAA